Molecule: ribosomal RNA, 460 nt
Filed under: uncultured bacterium
Lineage: Bacteria
Description: partial 16S ribosomal RNA
Rfam family: Bacterial small subunit ribosomal RNA
Source: RNAcentral
CCUACGUGUGGCAGCAGUGAGGAAUCUUGGUCAAUGGACGAGAGUCUGAACCAGCCAAGUAGCGUGAAUGAUGAAUGCCCUCUGGGUUGUAAACUUCUUUUAUAUGGGAAUAAACUGUUCCAAGUGUGGGAUUUUGUAUGUCCCAUAUGAAUACGGAUCGGCUAACUCCGUGACAGCAGCCGCGGUAAUACGGAGGAGCCGAGCGUUAGCAGGAUUUUUUGGGUUUAAAGGGGGCGUAGGUGGAUUGUUAAGUCAUGUGUGAAAGUUUGCGGCUAAACCGUAAAAUUGCAGUUGAAACUGGCAGGCUUGAGUACAGUAGAGGUGAGCGGAAUUCGUGGUGUAGCGGUGAAAUGCUUAGAUAUCAGGAAGAACACCGAUGGCGAAGGCAGCAUACUGGCGCCCGACUGACGCUGAGGCACGAAAGCGUGGGGAGCGAACAGGAUUAGAUACCCCUGUAGUC